This 1375-nucleotide long non-coding RNA is filed under the name Helianthus annuus (common sunflower). RNAcentral's name for it is "hypothetical non coding rna". The record is from RNAcentral. Lineage: Eukaryota; Viridiplantae; Streptophyta; Magnoliopsida; Asterales; Asteraceae.
GUGACGAGGCUACCCUAGGCCAUAGGGGCACGCCCCGCGAUACGCGACAGGGGGGGGGGGAGGAUCCCUCCGCGACUCGCGGGCGGCUCAAAUUUUGGGUAUAAAUGCAGGGGCUUGGGGCCUGAACUAUUUGCUCAGUUCGACGGUCUAAAAUGUCGUCCUACUCUUUGUAUCUCCGUUUCUUUCUAUCAACGCCCUAAAACCCCGAAACUCUGCUUGUUAUUAGGGUAAUAACUCUAAUCGCUGCUACGAUUCAAUCUCCGAUCGACUGAAACUAUCCGACGGGAUGUUUAAGUGCUAUCCUUUGUCAUUAGUCGUGAUUCCGACAGGAUGUUUAAGUACCACCCGAACUCGGGGAAUACUCUGUCAUUCGUUGUGAAUCCGAUAGAUGUUUAAGUGAUUACACUUUGUCAUUCAUUGUGAGGGUUUUAUUUCAUGAUUAUCGUUAAAGUUGAAUUGAGUUAAUACACUAAUACGAGUUCCCUUGUAUCUAGAAAUUAGAACUCGUAAGCAGGAAGCUGCUAGAAUACUUAAAAGCUAAGUAAACUUAAUAAGUUAAAUAAACUUAGCAGUUAAGUUAGCUGAGUAGAUUAAUUAAUCUGUUAAUUAAGUUAAGUAUGAUUAAUUAAUCAGUUAAUCAAAAUUAAUUAAGUUAAUCCAGAUUAAUUAAGUUAAGCAAGAUCAAUUAAGUUAAGCAAGAUCAAUUAAGCUUAAUUAAGUAAAUUAAAUAUAAAAUAGAUAAUAUCAAAGGAAGGUUCAAGGAAGCUAUAAGAAGAUAUAUAUAUGUGGUAGGAAGCUUCCUAGAAGAUGUAUAGGUAACUUCCUAGAAAAGAUAUAGGUAAUUUCCUAGAAACACAAAGGAAACUUCCUAGAAUUUUCAUACUUCUUACCUAUAAAUAGGAAGCUUAGGAAUUCAUUUCCUUUGUUCAUUUCUUCUAUUCUUUUCUCUCUAUACGUUGGUGUUUCAACCAAUAAUCACCAAAGCGAUAUUCUGUCCGAUCGAUUUAGGAACCAACUAACGAAUGCCAAAGUGUUGUACUUUGUGAAUUUCGGUAAACGGAAUCCAAAGUGCUAUACUUUGUGAGUUCAAGAAAUGGAUGCCAAAGUACUGUCUGAAUAAGACUAUACUUUGUGAAAUUCGUUAAGGUUCGAAUCUCGUGAUCAUCGUUAGGUUUGAUAUGGUUUUACACAAAUACGUAUUCCAUUCUGUUAAACUAUAUGUUUAACUACCAGAAUACUCCCAACCACACACUUACAAUCAAACAAGCUGUUAAGUCAUCAGAAGAUUCAAAUCAAUAAAGUAUAUGCUUAAUUAUCAGAAGGAGUAGAAUCAAGAAGCUUGUUAAAUCAAUACUGCAUGCUUAUACUGGAUUAA